Molecule: ribosomal RNA, 413 nt
Filed under: uncultured bacterium
Lineage: Bacteria
Description: bacterial SSU rRNA
Rfam family: Bacterial small subunit ribosomal RNA
Source: RNAcentral
GUGCCAGCCGCCGCGGUAAUACGGAGGGUGCGAGCGUUAAUCGGAAUUACUGGGCGUAAAGGGCGCGUAGGCGGUCGCGCAAGUCGGGUGUGAAAGCCCCGGGCUCAACCUGGGAAUUGCAUUCGAUACUGCGUAACUAGAGUCUGGUAGAGGGAAGCGGAAUUCCGCAUGUAGCGGUGAAAUGCGUAGAUAUGCGGAGGAACACCAGUGGCGAAGGCGGCUUCCUGGACCAAGACUGACGCUGAGGCGCGAAAGCGUGGGGAGCAAACAGGAUUAGAUACCCUGGUAGUCCACGCCCUAAACGAUGAGGACUAGACGUUGGGGGGAUAAAACCCCUUAGUGUCGCAGCUAACGCGUGAAGUCCUCCGCCUGGGGAGUACGGCCGCAAGGUUGAAACUUAAAUGAAUUGACGG